Molecule: ribosomal RNA, 460 nt
Filed under: uncultured bacterium
Lineage: Bacteria
Description: partial 16S ribosomal RNA
Rfam family: Bacterial small subunit ribosomal RNA
Source: RNAcentral
CCUACGGGUGGCAGCAGUGAGGAAUAUUUGUCAAUGGCCGGAAGGCUGAACCUGCGAAGUCGCGUGAGGGAAUGAGGCCCUAUGGGUCGUAAACCUCUUUUGUCAGGGAGCAAAGGCGUCCACGUGUGGACGAGAAGAGAGUACCUGAAGAAACAGCAUCAGCUAACUCCGUGCCAGCAGCCGCUGUACUACGGGGGAUGCGAGCGUUAUCCGGAUUUAUGUGGUUUAAUGGGUGCGUAGGGGGAGUGUCAAGUCAGCGGUAAAAUUUCGGGGCUCAACCCCGUCGUGCCGUUGAAACUGACGCCCUUGAGUGAGUGAGAAGGAAGCGGAAUGCGUGGUGUAGCGGUGAAAUGCAUAGAUAUCACGCAGAACGCCGAUGGCGAAGGCAGCUUACCGGCGCUCAACUGACGCUGAGGCACGAAAGUGAGGGUAGCGAACAGGAUUAGAUACCCUUGUAGUC